UCUCAGCAUUGAAAAGCCAGGCCCAAAGAAAACAAUCCAGGGACCUGAUCCUGCACUCCUUUCUGAGAUCUGCAGUAGCUAUAAACAGCCCAGCGUGACCCUCAGCCCCAGAUGUGUAAAAAGCUUUGGAAGCAAUCUCGAUUAGAGGAGCCAUACCUCAUGUGACUGUCAGGUCUGACCAUCUCUCCUCUGAAGCCUAAAAGGAGGGAAGCCCAUAGCUGGAAAGGUGAGCCUGGAAGCUGAAAGACAAAAAACACCAAUUGGAAACAUAAAUUUAUCCUUCCUGCAAAUGUUCAUGCUAAUCAACCCUGGUGAUAGAAUGU
This 323-nucleotide long non-coding RNA is filed under the name Chrysemys picta bellii (western painted turtle). RNAcentral describes it as "lncRNA (ENSCPBG00000008464.1)". Lineage: Eukaryota; Metazoa; Chordata; Testudines; Emydidae. The record is from RNAcentral.